This 465-nucleotide ribosomal RNA is filed under the name uncultured bacterium. Its description in RNAcentral is "partial 16S ribosomal RNA". It matches the Rfam family "Bacterial small subunit ribosomal RNA", at positions 339 to 795 of the family's 1533-position model. The record is from RNAcentral.
CUACGGGAGGCUGCAGUGGGGAAUAUUGGACAUUGGGGGAAACCCUGAUCCAGCAAUGCCGCGUGUGUGAAGAAGGCCUGCGGGUUGUAAAGCACUUUCGGUUGGGAGGACUGCUUCUAGCACUAAUAUUGUUGGAAGUUGACGUUACCUUCAGAAGAAGCACCGGCUAACUCCGUGCCAGCAGCCGCGGUAAUACGGAGGGUGCAAGCGUGAAUCGGAAUUACUGGGCGUAAAGCGCGCGUAGGCGGCUAGAUCAGUCGGGUGUGAAAGCCCCGGGCUUAACCUGGGAACUGCAUCCGAUACUGUCUAGCUUGAGUACAGGAGAGGAGAGUGGAAUUCCACAUGUAGCGGUGAAAUGCGUAGAUAUGUGGAGGAACACCAAUGGCGAAGGCAGCUCUCUGGCCUGAUACUGACGCUGAGGUGCGAAAGCGUGGGGAGCAAACAGGAUUAGAUACCCCGGUAGUC